RNAcentral lists this ribosomal RNA (325 nucleotides) under uncultured bacterium. RNAcentral describes it as "bacterial SSU rRNA". It matches the Rfam family "Bacterial small subunit ribosomal RNA", at positions 28 to 334 of the family's 1533-position model. The record is from RNAcentral.
GAUGAACGCUGGCGGCGUGCCUAACACAUGCAAGUCGAACGGACAUUUUUUGGAAAGUUCUUCGGAACUGGAAUCUAAAUGUUAGUGGCGGACGGGCGAGUAACGCGUGAGCAAUCUGCCUUUCAGAGGGGGAUAACAGCCGGAAACGGACGCUAAUACCGCAUGACAUACGGACAUGGCAUCAUGAUCGUAUCAAAGGAGCAAUCCGCUUUAAGAUGGACCCGCGUCUGAUUAGCUAGUUGGUAAGGUAACGGCUUACCAAGGCAACGAUCAGUAGCCGACCUGAGAGGGUGACCGGCCACAUUGGGACUGAGACACGGCCCAA